Molecule: unclassified non-coding RNA, 1724 nt
Filed under: Hevea brasiliensis (rubber tree)
Lineage: Eukaryota; Viridiplantae; Streptophyta; Magnoliopsida; Malpighiales; Euphorbiaceae
Source: RNAcentral
UCAUGAUCAAUUUCUCAUAUUUGCUUCUGAUGGGCUUUGGGAGCACCUCAGCAAUCAAGAUGCUGUUGAUAUAGUUCAAAAUCACCCACGUAAUGUAAGAACUCAAUUUCAGCUCUCAGUUGCUUUUGUUUUUUAAAUUUAUUUUAGAUAAUAUGGUUACAUCAGUAAGCUUCGUGGGAUACAGAUUAACAACAAUGCACUUUGCCUACCACGUAAACUUUGCCUUUUUGUUUGGAGAAUGAAAAUGGACAACAAAGGAAAUACAAGUUACUAGCAAAGAUUGCGGCAUCUCUUGGAACUUCAUUUUGUGAUAUAUGAGCACCAUUUGCAAUGUGGAUUGAUGUACAUGCCUCUUAUAAUCUUCUGAUUUUUUGUUCAAUUCUUCGUUUAUUUACUGAGAUUUUCAAAGUAAUUCUCUGCUCCUUCAGUUCAAGAAAUCUAUAACCUAUAGUUUUGCAAGCUGUUUUAUUUGGUUUAUCUACUUGUUUUCAGGCAAGGCUCUAUGCAUUUUCUAUUUUUUGGUUGCUAUUUUCUAUAUGUUCAUUGAGAUUUGAAUUUCUGUAAGUGCCCGUGUUUAAAAAAUUAUUAUUUUUAUUCCUGUCUAAAUGGAUUGAUUCUAAGCUUUGAGGAAUUUUAUCACUAACAGCAUGUGCUUGCUGUUGUAGGCCAUGUGCCUUCCCUGUAUUUUGCUAUUGUAAAAUGGACAUUCAAUUUGGGGGGUUUUCUAUUAUGUUUUGUAAAUAUAUAAACAAUAUUGGGAUGUUUGACACUGCUGACAUUGUAGGAUCUUAUUAAGCCCCAUAUAAGGAACUAUGAGGAAGAAAUCUGUCAUCAAAUGAUUUCAUACCUGUCUGAAUGCAGGGAAUUGCUAGGAGGCUUGUGAAGGCUGCCCUGCAGGAAGCUGCCAAAAAGAGAGAAAUGAGAUACUCAGAUUUGAAGAAAAUAGACCGCGGUGUCCGCCGCCAUUUCCAUGAUGACAUCACCGUCAUAGUAGUGUUUCUCGAUGCAAAUCUUGUGAGCAGAGCCAGCUCAGUCAAAGGGCCUUCAAUAUCUGUGAGAGGUGGUGGAGUUAACCUGCCUGCAAAAACCCUAGCUCCCUGUGGCACGCCAAUAGAAACUCAGUAGAGCAUGUAUCCACUUGAUAAUGUUUGCCCAUGUGCAGGAUCGUCCUUAGAAUUUCUUUGGUACUAGUUGCCACUAAGAGUGAAAGAGCAAGAGAGGAGAAGGUGUUGCCCUCUGAUUAAUUUUUUCAAAUUUUAACUUGAGUCAUGUAUUUUAUUUAGUUCUUGAGCACAUGAGCUGAAGGGAAAAGAAAGAAAUACGGGAAAAAGAGAGCUACAAUGCAAGGAAGACUCUAAAAGGUUCUUUUUCUUUAGGAAAAAUUUCUUAGACGCAUUCAUUUACUCUCUUUUCCCACCCUCUCUUGGAGUUUCUGCUUGUUGUAAAUUAUGUGAAACAGAUGCCCCUUAGAAUGAAAGUUUAUGUACCUGUUGUGCUUCCAUAUUACAGAGUGGUCCUCUUGAAUGUUGGGAAAUCUUUUCUUUUUCAUUUUUUUUAGGGUGUGAAACAUUUGUUCUGUAUUUUUCCUGUGCAAAAUCGAGAAUUUUGUACCGAAUACCAAAGAUUGAAGAACACCGCAUGUUCCAAAAUGUCAAUAUUUUCUCUUAUCUCUGGGGAGUGUGGAAGAUUGUUAAGGUUUAAUGUUGAGAUUUGGGUUGUGUCCG